GAGUUUGAUCAUGGCUCAGAUUGAACGCUGGCGGCAUGCCUUACACAUGCAAGUCGAACGGUAACGCGGGGCAACCUGGCGACGAGUGGCGAACGGGUGAGUAAUGCAUCGGAACGUGCCUGGUAGUGGGGGAUAACUGCUCGAAAGAGCAGCUAAUACCGCAUACGACCUGAGGGUGAAAGGGGGGGAUCGCAAGACCUCUCGCUAUCAGAGCGGCCGAUGUCGGAUUAGCUAGUUGGUGGGGUAAAGGCCCACCAAGGCAACGAUCCGUAGCUGGUCUGAGAGGACGACCAGCCACACUGGGACUGAGACACGGCCCAGACUCCUACGGGAGGCAGCAGUGGGGAAUUUUGGACAAUGGACGCAAGUCUGAUCCAGCCAUGCCGCGUGCGGGAAGAAGGCC
Molecule: ribosomal RNA, 403 nt
Filed under: uncultured beta proteobacterium
Lineage: Bacteria; Pseudomonadati; Pseudomonadota; Betaproteobacteria
Description: bacterial SSU rRNA
Rfam family: Bacterial small subunit ribosomal RNA
Source: RNAcentral